Molecule: transfer RNA, 65 nt
Filed under: Choroedocus capensis
Lineage: Eukaryota; Metazoa; Arthropoda; Insecta; Orthoptera; Acrididae
Description: tRNA-Leu
Rfam family: tRNA
About the family: Transfer RNA (tRNA) molecules are approximately 80 nucleotides in length.
Source: RNAcentral
UCUAAUAUGGCAGAUUAGUGCAGUAGAUUUAAGCUCUAAAAAUAAAGGUUAACCUUUUAUUAGAA